This 2194-nucleotide long non-coding RNA is filed under the name Daucus carota (carrot). RNAcentral describes it as "long non-coding RNA (DCAR_LNC003487)". The record is from RNAcentral. Lineage: Eukaryota; Viridiplantae; Streptophyta; Magnoliopsida; Apiales; Apiaceae.
GGUUAAAUGGAAAAUUUAAAUUAUUCUCAUAUAAUUGAAACAAGUCAUAAUAUACACUUCCAUAAAACUAAAAAUAAAUCACUAAUUCUAUUCAAUAAAAAUCACUAAUUACACAAAUAAAAUUAUUAUACAGGAGAGAUGUCACAAUAAAAAUAAUUGUUCUCUCCUUCAUCGAGUUGCGUUUCUGCCCCCCAAGAGUGAACAAGACACCUGUAAUCCAGCACAACCAACACAAAAUAUCAUCCGUAUGUGUUAUAUGUCUGGAUAAAUUUCACCAAGUUCAAAAUUAAAAUCAAAAUAUAAACUCAGCCAAACACAAGUUAAAACCUUCAAAUUGGAAAGACACAAGCAAUACCUUCAAUCAAGUGAUAAUAGUCGCAGAAGCUCGAGAAAUCAAUUUACAACCAACACAAAAAUAUCACUGGUAUGUGUUAUAUGUCUGAAUAAAUUUCACCAAGUUCAAAAUUAAAAUCAAAACAUAAACUCAGCCAAACACAAGUUAGAACCUUCAAAUUGGAAAGACACAAGCAAUACCUUCAAUCAAGUGAGAAUAGUCGCAGAAGCUCGAGAAAUCAAUUUGUACAGACUAAUGAGAGGCUCGGUGAAGACUUAGAGUCAAGAAAAGACUUGAGAGUUAACAGCUCUGCCCAUUUGUACCGUAGAGAUGACAAAAGGCUACAAAAUUCAAAAUAUUUACCAUUAUAUCUAUGGCAAAUAAAAAAAUACAAUAAUAGUAGUAUACUAGUGCUUAAUAUUCACCCAUAAUUAAUGCACAGCAGGACAAAUGAGACAGAGCAGGGAAGGAACUGAGGAAUUAAAAGAGGAACAAUUAAUGAACUUUUGGAUCCAAAUGUCAUCGGUAAAAUUCUAUAUUCCCUUGCAACUCUGUCUAAGCUUGUAGAUCUGCAACUGCAAAAUAACAAGUUUGAAGGUAAAUACCUGAAUUUAAACAAAAAGAACUGAAUAGCGAAUUUUAAUUCUUUUCUUUUCUUUUUCUCUAUCUGCAAAAUAUUUCAUUUAAUUACUUCUAGCAUGGGAAUACAAUAGAUGAUCUAAAUAAAUGAUUAAUUGAAGGAUAAUAAAAUGAAGUCCAGUUGGGAACUAUAACAAAUCAAUGGACGAAAAGAUUGUCAAUAAACUAAACACAACAGAUGAUCUAAAUAAAGAUUAUUUACUGCCAAGUAAUCUUUGUCUUCCAUCGUUAGCUAAAGCUCUAUUAGGUUGCUUUUCUCUUGUGUUCUUUUUUCUCUUAUAUAAAAAGUAAAGGUUCAAUUUCCAUAAAAUUACUCUCGAGGUUCUUGUUUUAAACCUCGACGCCAAAGGUUAGUAGUAAGUACAUAAGCAAUGGGCAUCAGUUAGUCCUGUUAUAGUCAUCUUAUAAGUUUUAUUUCUUCACCAACUCAUCACACUGCAAAUUAUAGUACAGUUAAAUUAUUAACCGCUAAAGUGUCGUCUUGAAUUCGUGUGAACUGGUUUUGCAAAUGUAUAAAUAGGAGCUUUGAGUUAAGAUGGGUGCUAUAAAAACUCAUAAGAUCCUAUGGGAAUCUGAAAUCUUAUUAGAGGUCUAAAAUGCUAUAUAUAACUGAAAAUUUGCAUAAAUAAAUUUAAACAUUAGAGUUUAUAAAUUUUAUUAAAAAAUAAUGAGUAUUAUUUGCAAAUGUUAGUGACAACUUUUAAGUUCUUUUCUUUCCAGCACCAAUUCCUUACUCAGUCUGGAGCAUGUAUGCCAUUACAAUCUCCUUAUAUAAUUACCAUGGGCAGUGUUAUAUGAAUUGCUAAUUACACAGGAUAAAUCAAUUACUCGACGAAUUAAUCACAUGUAAACCACAGACACUAACCUUGUAUAAUCCUUAGUAAUUUUCCUAUGACUCUGCACAACUUAUUCCAGGGCCAAACCACGCUAACACUGCCCAACACCACACCUUCGCUAGCUUCUCUCUCUUACGGGCAUUUACGGGGGUGUAUUCGAUUGGGAUUUUAAUGGAUUGUUUUUAGUCUAUGGAUUUUAAUGAUUGUAUGGGAUUUUGAUUUUGUGCGGAUUCUUGAUAAAAUGUCGCAGAGUUGAUGGGAUUUAGGUACAAUGCUUCAAAAUCCUAUUGAUUUUGAUGGGAUUUCAAAAAACUUAAAAUACACUGAAGAAUGCCACAAAAUCCAUCAUUUUAUGAAAUGAAAAAAAAUCCAUCAGCAUUUGAAU